GAGUUUGAUCCUGGCUCAGGAUGAACGCUGGCGGCGUGGAUAAGGCAUGCAAGUCGAUCGCAUUUAGUUGCGAGGCAAACGGGUUAGUAACACGUAGGAACGUACCUCAAAGACAGGGAUAACCUUGCGAAAGCGAGAAUAAUACCUGAUAAUCUCUUCGGAGUAAAGAUUUAUCGCUUUGAGAGCGGCCUGCGUCCUAUCAGCUUGUUGGUGAGGUAAUGGCUCACCAAGGCUAUGACGGGUAGGGGACGUGAGAGCGUGACCCCCAACAUUGGCACUGAGACACUGGCCAAACACCUACGGGUGGCUGCAGUCGAGAAUCUUCCACAAUGGGCGCAAGCCUGAUGGAGCGACGCCGCGUGCAGGAUGACAGCCUUCGGGGUUGUAAACUGCUUUUNGAAAGGAAGAAUCCGCCUCGGCGGCA
RNAcentral lists this ribosomal RNA (424 nucleotides) under uncultured prokaryote. RNAcentral describes it as "bacterial SSU rRNA". It matches the Rfam family "Bacterial small subunit ribosomal RNA", at positions 9 to 468 of the family's 1533-position model. The record is from RNAcentral.